GACGGAGGGUGCAAGCGUUAAUCGGAAUUACUGGGCGUAAAGCGCACGCAGGCGGUUUGUUAAGUCAGAUGUGAAAUCCCCGGGCUCAACCUGGGAACUGCAUUUGAAACUGGCAGGCUAGAGUCUCGUAGAGGGAGGUAGAAUUCCAGGUGUAGCGGUGAAAUGCGUAGAGAUCUGGGGGAAUACCGGUGGCGAAGGCGGCCUCCUGGACGAAGACUGACGCUCAGGUGCGAAAGCGUGGGGAGCAAACAGG
This 253-nucleotide ribosomal RNA is filed under the name uncultured bacterium. RNAcentral describes it as "partial 16S ribosomal RNA". It matches the Rfam family "Bacterial small subunit ribosomal RNA", at positions 524 to 776 of the family's 1533-position model. The record is from RNAcentral.